UACGUAGGUGGCAAGCGUUGUCCGGAUUUACUGGGCGUAAAGAGCGCGCAGGCGGUCGUUUAAGUCGAAUGUGAAAGCCCCCGGCUCAACUGGGGAGGGUCAUUCGAUACUGAUCGACUUGAAGGCAGGAGAGAGAAGUGGAAUUCCCGGUGUAGUGGUGAAAUGCGUAGAUAUCGGGAGGGACACCAGUGGCGAAGGCGACUUCUUGGCCUGUUCUUGACGCUGAGGCGCGAAAGCUGGGGGAGCAAACGGG
RNAcentral lists this ribosomal RNA (253 nucleotides) under uncultured bacterium. Its description in RNAcentral is "partial 16S ribosomal RNA". It matches the Rfam family "Bacterial small subunit ribosomal RNA", at positions 524 to 776 of the family's 1533-position model. The record is from RNAcentral.